RNAcentral lists this ribosomal RNA (439 nucleotides) under uncultured bacterium. Its description in RNAcentral is "partial 16S ribosomal RNA". It matches the Rfam family "Bacterial small subunit ribosomal RNA", at positions 339 to 795 of the family's 1533-position model. The record is from RNAcentral.
CUACGGGACGCUGCAGUGGGGAAUCUUGCACAAUGGAGGAAACUCUGAUGCAGCGAUGCCGCGUGAGUGAAGAAGGCCCUUGGGUUGUAAAGCUCUUUUGUCGGGAAAGAUAAUGACUGUACCCGAAGAAUAAGGUCCGGCUAACUUCGUGCCAGCAGCCGCGGUAAUACGAAGGGACCUAGCGUAAUUCGGAAUUACUGGGCGUAAAGCGCGCGUAGGCGGUUAAGUAAGUUAAGUGUGACAGCCCAAAGCUCAACUUUGGAAUUGCAAUUAAAACUACUUAGCUAGAGUUUAUCAGAGGAAAGCGGAAUACCUAGUGUAGAGGUGAAAUUCGUAGAUAUUAUGUAGCACACCAGUUGCGAAGGCGGCUUUCUGGGAUAACACUGACGCUGAGGUGCGAAAGUAUGGGUAGCGAAGAGGAUUAGAUACCCGGGUAGUC